GGAGAAUAAUAGAACGGAGCCUAGAAAUCCUAAAAUGAUAUGCGAAAAUGCGAGUCUCACUUUUUUAUUUCAAAAACUGUUCUGGGUUUAUUGGAAAAAAGAUCCGGGAGUACGUAAACCGUUAAUUGUGAAAGGUGUUACUUAUCGUAGCUAAGUCAAAUGUGCCAGGGGAUAGGAGUUUGACAUUGGAAUCACUUGUGGGAUGACGCCUCGACACAAUUAUAGUCUGAUGAUAUCAAAUGAAAAAGGGAAUCAUUAAUAUCGAAUAGUAUUUCCUUAUAAAAUUAUCAUUUAAUGACUAUUAUUUGAAAAUCAGUGUGAAGUACUUUGACGUAUAUAAUAAACGAUAUCAAAUCGAUAAGGCUCCUGGAAACGUUUGUAUCACUGAUACGAACAGAAGACGAUAAUUCAGGAAAUCUGUAUUGGAUAAUUACCCACUUAUUAAUGUCACAUAUUCAUACAUUAAUAUUAAUCAUCAAGAGACUCUUCAUCAAGAGCUGACAAGAAUAUUGAGAAUUUUUUAAACCUGGCUUUUAUACCGUUUAUAUUAUUAUCCACUAAUUUCAGAUGUACAGAAUCUAUUUUGUGUCUUGGGAAAGAAGCUUACAAGUGCAAAUAUGUAAUUUUUGUUUAACGAGAAGCAUUCACAGUGUAAUGUGGAAUGAUGUUAUUGGAUUAACCAAUCUUUAUUGCCGUUCUUCUUUUUAUAUGCUUUUCCGAUAAGAAAAAGAAACGAUAAUGAUAUAAAAUAAAUAUAUGUUAGAAUAUGCAGACUGAUCUAGA
Long non-coding RNA from Cephus cinctus (wheat stem sawfly), 783 nucleotides. RefSeq lists it as uncharacterized. NCBI's taxonomy places the organism in Eukaryota, Metazoa, Arthropoda, Insecta, Hymenoptera, Cephidae. The record is from RefSeq and is a predicted model, not a curated record. The transcript has 3 exons.